This 408-nucleotide ribosomal RNA is filed under the name uncultured bacterium. Its description in RNAcentral is "bacterial SSU rRNA". It matches the Rfam family "Bacterial small subunit ribosomal RNA", at positions 359 to 776 of the family's 1533-position model. The record is from RNAcentral.
GAAUUUUUCGCAAUGGGGGCAACCCUGACGAAGCAAUGCCGCGUGGAUGAUGAAGUCUCUUGGGACGUAAAAUCCUUUCGACAGGGACGAAACCGCAAGGUUGACGGUACCUGUAGAAGAAGCCCCGGCUAACCCCGUGCCAGCAGCCGCGGUAAUACGGGGGGGGCAAGCGUUGUUCGGAAUUACUGGGCGUACAGGGUGCGUGGGCGGCUUUUUAAGUCGGAUGUGAAAACUCUGGGCUCAACCCAGAGCCUGCAUCCGAAACUGGAGAGCUUGGGUUCUGGAGGGGAAAGCGGAAUUCCUGGUGUAGCAGUGAAAUGCGUAGAUAUCAGGAGGAACACCGGUGGCGAAGGCGGCUUUCUGGACAGAUACCGACGCUGAGGCACGAAAGCUAGGGGAGCAAACAGG